AGUAACAUGGCGCAUACAGAAAACCGUCAGGGGGAUUAGUAGUCCCCUGACGGUUUUUUUGCGUUUCAGUCUUAGUGCUACUGC
RNAcentral lists this transfer RNA (84 nucleotides) under Paenibacillus marchantiophytorum. Its description in RNAcentral is "tRNA-Thr". The record is from RNAcentral. Lineage: Bacteria; Bacillati; Bacillota; Bacilli; Caryophanales; Paenibacillaceae.